Unclassified non-coding RNA from Erinaceus europaeus (western European hedgehog), 278 nucleotides. Its record names the gene 7SK. It matches the Rfam family "7SK RNA". From Rfam's summary of the family: 7SK was discovered as an abundant small nuclear RNA in the mid-70s but a possible function has only recently been suggested. Two independent studies have found that 7SK RNA binds the CDK9/cyclin T complex (known as elongation factor P-TEFb). P-TEFb activates transcription by phosphorylating the C-terminal domain of RNA polymerase II. The record is from Ensembl. Lineage: Eukaryota; Metazoa; Chordata; Mammalia; Eulipotyphla; Erinaceidae.
AGAUGUGAGGGCAAUUUGGCUGCAACACCUGUCACUAAAUUGAUCUCCAGGGUUGAUCUGGCUGAUAUGGCUGGCUAGGCAGGUGUCCCCUUCCUCCCUCACCACUCUAUGUGCGUCCCUCCCCAAACUACUGAAAAGGACCUCCUUCCCCAAAUAGAGACAGACAGUUCUUGGGUCCAGGGUAUUUGAGUAGGUGCGCUCCCCUGCUAGAACCUCCAAACAAGCUCUCAAGAAAGAUGAUGACUAGGGCAUUGUGGGAAUUACCCCUAGAGGACCCU